AUCCAAACAAGCCUUAAAUCCUAGCUGAAAAACAAAGUAUUAAUUAAACCCAAACAUGAAAGAAAAUAAUAAAAUUAAUUAAUCUGUCAUUAAAUACCAUCAGCCCUUCUUUCCUUAUGUAGCUAGGAUAAAUAAAGAAUUCUUAUAAAAAAAGGAUUCUGAAACAUUAAUGAAUCUUUAUCACACUUAGAGAUUAUAUUACAGCUCAUUAAAGAUCCUUAUGGAACUAGAAAAUUUCCAAACAAGCUCUCACAUCCUUGUAGGAAAAGAAUCAUUGUCAAAUAGGAAGUUCACAAGUCAAAGAGAAGUAAAUAACAAAAUUUAUAGAGCCUAUUCUGACCUAUAUUGUAAGUCCUUCCCGAACUUCAAUUCAUCUGAAAAUUUAUCCCAACAUAGAACAAUACCUUUGGGAUCUUCAGGUCAAGUUUCAGCUCGAUCCAACGGUUGAAUUUCCAGUUAUGCUCAAAAGUGUAAAAUUAGAUAGUAAAAACUUUUACGACAAAAUCUGAAUCUGACCUUGCUUGGAUCGUAUCAAAUGAUAUGUGUGAAGUUUAUGUAGAAUAAAAAUUUAGAAAGACCUUUUUUUAAAAUAAUUAAAAGAAAUAGUAAAGUUAUAUA
RNAcentral lists this long non-coding RNA (618 nucleotides) under Populus trichocarpa (black cottonwood). Its description in RNAcentral is "long non-coding RNA (PTRI_LNC000113)". Lineage: Eukaryota; Viridiplantae; Streptophyta; Magnoliopsida; Malpighiales; Salicaceae. The record is from RNAcentral.